UUUGAUGCAUGGAAAAAAAACUAUUUUCAUUUAAUAUUUUGAAACUUUCAAACAUAUAACAUGUUAGAACAAAAAAAAUUGUUUCAUUUAUAAAAAUUAUACUAAGUACAUGAAGAAAUACCAGAUUUUAUGGUGCCACAUAUGAGAAAUAUGUAUAUACAUUAGAAUUGUUAUCGUCACAUAGAUCAAUAAGCAGAAAAAUAGAAGCUUAAAAAUAAGAUUUAUUCCAUUUGAAAAAUCUGAAAAGUAAAACCAAAUCACCUGUAGAAUAAAAUUAGCACAACAUUUUUUUUAAAGCAUAGAUUUUGAUGCAAGGAAAAAAAAACUAUUUUCAGUUAGUAUUUUGAAACUUUCAAACAUAUAACAAGUUAG
Non-coding RNA from Parasteatoda tepidariorum (common house spider), 372 nucleotides. Lineage: Eukaryota; Metazoa; Arthropoda; Arachnida; Araneae; Theridiidae. The record is from RefSeq and is a predicted model, not a curated record.